AAGCUAAUAUUUUUGGUAGUUUGAACCUACUUAGCAGACUUAUUAAGUCUUUAGUUUU
Molecule: transfer RNA, 58 nt
Filed under: Singhiella simplex
Lineage: Eukaryota; Metazoa; Arthropoda; Insecta; Hemiptera; Aleyrodidae
Description: tRNA-Ser
Source: RNAcentral